UACGGGGGAUGCAAGCGUUAUCCGGAAUCAUUGGGCGUAAAGCGCCUGUAGGUUGUUUAGUAAGUCUGUUGUUAAAGCCUAGGGCUUAACCCUAGAACAGCAAUGGAAACUACUAGGCUAGAGUAUGGUAGGGGUAGAGGGAAUUUCUAGUGUAGCGGUGAAAUGCGUAGAUAUUAGAAAGAACACCGGUGGCGAAAGCGCUCUACUGGACCAUUACUGACACUCAGAGGCGAAAGCUAGGGUAGCAAAAGGGAUUAGAUACCCCUGUAGUCCUAGCCGUAAACGAUGGAUACUAGAUGUUGUGCAUAAAGUACAGUAUCGCAGCUAACGCGUUAAGUAUCCCGCCUGGGGAGUACGCUCGCAAGGGUG
RNAcentral lists this ribosomal RNA (369 nucleotides) under uncultured phototrophic eukaryote. Its description in RNAcentral is "SSU rRNA". It matches the Rfam family "Bacterial small subunit ribosomal RNA", at positions 524 to 896 of the family's 1533-position model. The record is from RNAcentral.